Enterococcus ratti is the source of this 155-nucleotide non-coding RNA. The record is from Rfam. NCBI's taxonomy places the organism in Bacteria, Bacillati, Bacillota, Bacilli, Lactobacillales, Enterococcaceae.
GGUUCCUUUAAGUUUAGUCCCGUGAGGCUAAGAAGGGUGUGAGCAAAAGACAAGUGGUGCGCCUAUUGGAAGUUGCUCAAGUGACGUAGUAUAACUAUCAGUGUACACUCAGUCGUGACAUUCCUCCUGUCCUCUUAGGGCAGGAGUUUUUUUGU